UGGGGAAUUUUGGACAAUGGGCGAAAGCCUGAUCCAGCAAUGCCGCGUGUGUGAAGAAGGCCUUCGGGUUGUAAAGCACUUUUGUCCGGAAAGAAAUCCUUGGCUCUAAUACAGUCGGGGGAUGACGGUACCGGAAGAAUAAGCACCGGCUAACUACGUGCCAGCAGCCGCGGUAAUACGUAGGGUGCAAGCGUUAAUCGGAAUUACUGGGCGUAAAGCGUGCGCAGGCGGUUUGCUAAGACCGAUGUGAAAUCCCCGGGCUCAACCUGGGAACUGCAUUGGUGACUGCAAGGCUAGAGUAUGGCAGAGGGGGGUAGAAUUCCACGUGUAGCAGUGAAAUGCGUAGAGAUGUGGAGGAAUACCGAUGGCGAAGGCAGCCCCCUGGGCCAAUACUGACGCUCAUGCACGAAAGCGUGGGGAGCAAACAGGAUUAGAUACCCUGGUAGUCCACGCCCUAAACGAUGUCAACUAGUUGUUGGGGAUUCAUUUCCUUAGUAACGUAGCUAACGCGUGAAGUUGACCGCCUGGGGGAGUACGGUCGCAAGAUUAAAACUUAAAUGAAUUGACGGGGUCAUAGCUGUUUCCU
This 586-nucleotide ribosomal RNA is filed under the name uncultured bacterium. RNAcentral describes it as "partial 16S ribosomal RNA". It matches the Rfam family "Bacterial small subunit ribosomal RNA", at positions 355 to 1375 of the family's 1533-position model. The record is from RNAcentral.